UCUAUGGAGAAUAUUUUAUAGAAAAGAACGUCGUAUUAAGUCUUCGAUGUUUAGCACAUUUAUGUGAAAAGACUUUAAUCGCACCAAAUUGGCUUUUACUUGGUUUUGAGAGAAUAUACUCUCAACAUUUUGUUCUUUGAAAACUAGAUAAUGUAAAAAUGAGUAGUUGUUUUAUUUAUGAAACAACAUUAAGAUCUCAAAACUCAUCAAUUAGGAAUAAUAAAAUUAAUACGUUAAGUAUUGAUUUAACUGU
This 253-nucleotide unclassified non-coding RNA is filed under the name uncultured Syntrophomonadaceae bacterium. RNAcentral describes it as "16S-23S ribosomal RNA intergenic spacer". RNAcentral also lists the same sequence under 2 other names. Lineage: Bacteria; Bacillati; Bacillota; Clostridia; Eubacteriales; Syntrophomonadaceae. The record is from RNAcentral.